GAUGAACGCUGGCGGCGUGCCUAAUACAUGCAAGUCGAGCGAACGGACGAGAAGCUUGCUUCUCUGAUGUUAGCGGCGGACGGGUGAGUAACACGUGGAUAACCUACCUAUAAGACUGGGAUAACCUCGGGAAACCGGAGCUAAUACCGGAUAAUAUUUUGAACCGCAUGGUUCAAAAGUGAAAGACGGUCUUGCUGUCACUUAUAGAUGGAUCCGCGCUGCAUUAGCUAGUUGGUAAGGUAACGGCUUACCAAGGCAACGAUGCAUAGCCGACCUGAGAGGGUGAUCGGCCACACUGGAACUGAGACACGGUCCAGACUCCUACGGGAGGCAGCAGUAGGGAAUCUUCCGCAAUGGGCGAAAGCCUGACGGAGCAACGCCGCGUGAGUGAUGAAGGUCUUCGGAUCGUAAAACUCUGUUAUUAGGGAAGAACAUAUGUGUAAGUAACUGUGCACAUCUUGACGGUACCUAAUCAGAAAGCCACGGCUAACUACGUGCCAGCAGCCGCGGUAAUACGUAGGUGGCAAGCGUUAUCCGGAAUUAUUGGGCGUAAAGCGCGCGUAGGCGGUUUUUUAAGUCUGAUGUGAAAGCCCACGGCUCAACCGUGGAGGGUCAUUGGAAACUGGAAAACUUGAGUGCAGAAGAGGAAAGUGGAAUUCCAUGUGUAGCGGUGAAAUGCGCAGAGAUAUGGAGGAACACCAGUGGCGAAGGCGACUUUCUGGUCUGUAACUGACGCUGAUGUGCGAAAGCGUGGGGAUCAAACAGGAUUAGAUACCCUGGUAGUCCACGCCGUAAACGAUGAGUGCUAAGUGUUAAGGGGUUCCGCCCCUUAGUGCUGCAGCUAACGCAUUAAGCACUCCGCCUGGGGAGUACGACCGCAAGGUUGAAACUCAAAGGAAUUGACGGGGACCCGCACAAGCGGUGGAGCAUGUGGUUUAAUUCGAAGCAACGCGAAGAACCUUACCAAAUCUUGACAUCCUUUGACAACUCUAGAGAUAGAGCUUUCCCCUUCGGGGGACAAAGUGACAGGUGGUGCAUGGUUGUCGUCAGCUCGUGUCGUGAGAUGUUGGGUUAAGUCCCGCAACGAGCGCAACCCUUAAGCUUAGUUGCCAUCAUUAAGUUGGGCACUCUAAGUUGACUGCCGGUGACAAACCGGAGGAAGGUGGGGAUGACGUCAAAUCAUCAUGCCCCUUAUGAUUUGGGCUACACACGUGCUACAAUGGACAAUACAAAGGGCAGCGAAACCGUGAGGUCAAGCAAAUCCCAUAAAUUUGUUCUCAGUUCGGAUUGUAGUCUGCAACUCGACUACAUGAAGCUGGAAUCGCUAGUAAUCGUAGAUCAGCAUGCUACGGUGAAUACGUUCCCGGGUCU
Molecule: ribosomal RNA, 1371 nt
Filed under: uncultured bacterium
Lineage: Bacteria
Description: bacterial SSU rRNA
Rfam family: Bacterial small subunit ribosomal RNA
Source: RNAcentral